UACAGAGGGUGCAAGCGUUAAUCGGAAUUACUGGGCGUAAAGCGCGCGUAGGUGGUUUGUUAAGUUGGAUGUGAAAUCCCCGGGCUCAACCUGGGAACUGCAUCCAAAACUGGCAAGCUAGAGUAUGGUAGAGGGUGGUGGAAUUUCCUGUGUAGCGGUGAAAUGCGUAGAUAUAGGAAGGAACACCAGUGGCGGAGGCGACCACCUGGACUGAUACUGACACUGAGGUGCGAAAGCGUGGGGAGCAAACAGG
This 253-nucleotide ribosomal RNA is filed under the name uncultured bacterium. RNAcentral describes it as "partial 16S ribosomal RNA". It matches the Rfam family "Bacterial small subunit ribosomal RNA", at positions 524 to 776 of the family's 1533-position model. The record is from RNAcentral.